This 279-nucleotide long non-coding RNA is filed under the name Chinchilla lanigera (long-tailed chinchilla). RNAcentral describes it as "lncRNA (ENSCLAG00000024419.1)". Lineage: Eukaryota; Metazoa; Chordata; Mammalia; Rodentia; Chinchillidae. The record is from RNAcentral.
GCUUGUCAUGCUGGUUUUCCUGAUGAACUCAGAUGUUCCCAUCAUCCAAGGAAACUGGGACCUUGUUGGCACUGAGAAUGGCUUUGGUUCACUUUGAGGGAGCUCUGAUCCUCACUCUCUGUGGAAUCAUUGGAACACAUGUAAGAAUUCUGAGAAGUAAGGAAACAUAUCCUACUUCCCUCUUCCACCUGCUGGUAUGAGUUGGAAAAUUCAACAGCGUCACUGAAAACAUUUGGAACUUCUAUCAGCUUUUCUAGAUUUUCUUCAAAGGAAAAUUAC